Meriones unguiculatus (Mongolian gerbil) is the source of this 3071-nucleotide long non-coding RNA. RefSeq lists it as uncharacterized. Lineage: Eukaryota; Metazoa; Chordata; Mammalia; Rodentia; Muridae. The transcript is spliced from 4 exons. The record is from RefSeq and is a predicted model, not a curated record.
GGCGCGUUCCGAGCAGCCGCGGCGUUGCCUGGGGCGGUUCGGGACCUGGGGUGGGCGUGGACGGAGGCCUGAGGAUGGGCAGCCCCUCGCUCCGCCCCUGGCGUCCCUUGGGGAGCCCGCUCCGAACCCCGCGAAGCCUUCGGGUCGGGGAGAGCGAUUUUCUGCGAAGGCAAAGCGUGGUCAAGUGGUUUGGGCUGCUUCGAGGGAAAAAUAGACCGUCACGCCUGUCCAGAGCUUUGGGGGAGAGAAGCCCGGGCACGGUGUCCUGGUUUCGGGGGGUGGGGUGGGGUGGGGGUGUCCUCGGCUCCAGCUCAUCCUUCCCCUGCAGCCUGACCGAGCUAGAGGUGCAGAGGAAGCCCAGAAAGAGGAAGGAGGCCCCGAUUUCGGCCUUGGCGACAGAGCUGCAUAGAUCUCCGUGGGAUGUUGUGGACUAACAGCCCAAGGAACGGUAUCACCCACAAUGUGUUGGGCACUUCUACAUGAAUGAAAGGAGCUUUAUAAAGACAAUUUCCCAGACAUGCCCACAGGACAAUCUACUCUAGGAAAUUCCUCAGAUGACUAUAGGCUAUGUCAAGUUGAGAUUAAAGAUGACAGGAACACCGCGCAAAAAGCCAGGUGGGCAUAGGGAGGGAUACAGAGGGGCAGAGAUAAAGAUGCCUGGAGAAUGCUGGCUUGCCAGGCUAGCUGAAACCGAGUCCCAGGUUCAGUGAAGUACCCCACCUCAAAGUGACUGGGAGAGAUACCCAUAUACCAACCUCAGGCCUCCAUGCCAGCAUGCACACAUGCACCAUACCGUUCAAACAUAUAUGCACACACGCAUACAUAAGAAAGAGGGGGAGAGAAAGCAAGAGUGAACCAAAUCAGUUCUGGUUUUAAGGACUGCUUCAUGUGGGACCUCCUACACUUCAAGAUUUGCGUUUUCUGGAAAUCUAACUACAUUUUUAAACUGUCUCAAAUCCUCUUGGCAGUUUGUUGCUGUGUCUUUACAGCCCAUAAUUUCUUAUAUCUCCUGGCAUUUUCUUGAGGAACUACAUCUCUACUAUGAUGUAGUAAUCAGUUUUUUUUUAAUGAUUUCUAGAUAAGUCUUCUAGCUCUGUCAACUCUCCAAGCCAGAUGAGAAGAAACCAGGUUCUCAGACAGUCCCCAGGUUCUUCAGUGUAUUGGGCACACUCUGGAGUAGGAAGUUACUUUCCCAUUGUUUCCCAUGUCCCUUGUUGAUUCAGAGAGGGAGAUGGGAACACAAAGUAAUGAAGAGUGGCAUUUCUCAUUUGCUAGCAAGUUCAGGGGUUAGAGGCAUACACCCUACCACUUGGGGUUUGGGUGGGGAGUUACUUGUUUCAGAUUAAUUUUAUGUUGUUAGAGAAAAAAGAUUGUUAGAAAAAGUUGGCAUAUGUUCUCUCUCUCUCUCUACAAGAGCUUUAACUUAUUUUCCUCUUUGCCACAUCUACAAAGGGCAAAGUUUUUCUACACAUUUCAUGCUGUUAUACAUACCUUUUUCCUAAACAUACCUUUUUUUCUAUACAUUUCAUGCUGCUUUCUGGCUGCCAGGCUUGUAGCUUUGUGUUAUUAAAUAUCAAAGUUGUCACAUUAUUUGCAUUUAACUUUUUCUUUCUAGGGGUGCUUUGUACUUCAUCUGAUUCUUUCAGGCCUGUUGAUUUUCCUCCUUCUACCCCCACCCACCAAUGGCUCUCUUAAGCUUCCUUUUUGUUUGUUUUCUUUAUUCUCUGACUUGCAGCAAUGUGUAAGGAUGGAAGCUUCUGUUGGAAUUUCUCCUUUACAAGUAAUUUGAAGGUUGUGUAAUAAUCAUUCAGUAAUAUUUAAAGUGUGGGUCAUGUGUGUUAUAUAUUAUCUGUGUGGUUUUUAUGUGAUACUAGAAGGUUGAAUCGACCAUCUUUGUGUAUGGUAGAGCUGUUUCACUAAACUGUAUCUACAGCCUUUUUAUUUUGAUACAGGGUUUCACUAAGUUGCCCAGCCCAGCUGUGAACUCAGUCAUAGCCUGGUCUUGAACUUGCUAUCUGCAGCCUCUAUGUGGUUGAGAUUAUAAGCUUGGGCCUCCAGGCCUGUUGCAAGCAAGUCUUAUAUUCCUAGAAGGGGUGCCUUGUCCCUGAGGUUCUACAGUGCCAGGUUGAUGUAACAAGCUCCCCUUCCAUCCCUUGCUUCAGAAACUCAUUUCACAUGUUGUUCUUGGGCAGAGACCACAGUAUAGUAAAAUGGCAAGGACAGAUACUAUGCUGGGUCUUCGUCAAAAGGCCACGAAGCAGUAAUUCAUUGGCUUUUCUAGAGGACUGUGUGCUGUAGCCAUUUUUCUCUAGACCCGGCAGCCAGCUGUGUGUUACUUUGGGGUCUGAGUAAAAAGCAUUAUUGUUCGUAUUAUUGUGGCACGUGGAGGGAGUUGAGUGAGCCCUGCUUUCCUAACUCAUUCAGCCUAUGGCUGUCUGUUCUCUUCAGGUGCCUGAGCAAGCCAGAGCGGAAGUCCCUUUGUUUCCCUUCAACAUUGUUCAAUUCUCUUUUGAGCCCUUUUCACCCUUUUUCACUGAGGAGAUGAAGACAAAAGUAGACAGAUUCUGCUGAACUGUUGCAUAACUUACAACCUCCCUUCAUUAACUUAUUUGUUGCGACAGGGUGUCUCAGUGAAUCUGGAGCUCACAGAUUUGGUCAUCCUGUUUCUACCUGCCAGUGCUGGGAUUAGAGGCAUGUACCGCUUGCACUCAGGUGUUGACGCGGGUACCAGGGACCUGAACUCAAGUUGUCAAGCAAGCAGAUCAUCCACUGAACCCCUUCCCGGGCCCCUUGUUGCAACUUUUUAAAAAAUUUAAAAGCACUUUUGGAUCUCACCCUGGCCUGGGACUGAUGAAAAUAAAAGAGGAAGAGGAAAGUGACACCCCGGGCAUGGGAGUGUGAGUCUCCCCACACUUUUCAAGUGCCACUUCACAUACAGAGAAAAUGACUCUCCAUCUUGGUAAAAAGUUGGUAUACCAGCUAAAGUUUAUGGUCAUCUUCAAAAUUUCAAUAAAUGUAUAAAACUCAAAACAUUUUCUCCUUUUAAGACAUGGUAAGGGGGAAAUAUGAGU